CCCUUUAGCAAUGGGUAAAGAGACACCUUAUUGGUAGUGUUGUUCUUAUAUCAGUCUGGGGCAAAGCAGAUGGCAGUCCUUUGUUCAUCCUGCCUGAUGCCUGACCUGUGGCCAAAGAUGUUUUAAGCCUAGGAUAUGUAA
Psammomys obesus (fat sand rat) is the source of this 141-nucleotide small nucleolar RNA. RefSeq annotates it as small nucleolar RNA SNORA48. Lineage: Eukaryota; Metazoa; Chordata; Mammalia; Rodentia; Muridae. The record is from RefSeq and is a predicted model, not a curated record. The transcript has a single exon.